Long non-coding RNA from Cuculus canorus (common cuckoo), 2516 nucleotides. RefSeq lists it as uncharacterized. The record is from RefSeq and is a predicted model, not a curated record. The transcript has 2 exons. NCBI's taxonomy places the organism in Eukaryota, Metazoa, Chordata, Aves, Cuculiformes, Cuculidae.
CAGGAGAGUGAUGCAUAUGGAAGAAGGAGGGGCAGCUCCUGUCCCCAGGUCACUGUGGUGGCUGACAAGGCCCUCAGGAGAGUGCAGCUGGGGAAGGGUUAAACUUUAACCAGCCAGACUCAAACCCUUCCCUGGUCAAACCAGCGCCUGCAGUUGCUGAAGCAAGGAAGACGCUGAGCUGCUGGGCGGCACGCGGGUGAGAAUAAGAAGGAGACACUUUUCCUUAUCUUCCCCCUUAGCUUGCUGGGAUGUUGCCUGGUAGGACAGCAGGAGCCCCCCGGGAGCGUUUCCGCCUCGUCCUGCCUGUGUGGGUGCAUCUUGGUACAGAGCAUCCUUGGAGAAAAGCUUUGUCCCCUGGGUUCUCUCCUUCCUGUCUCUGGAAGCUGCAGGACCCUGAUGAAUGACUCCCAUAUCAUGAUCAAAAAGUCUCCCUAACAGUUUUAGUGUGUUUGUGUCCCCCUAGUUAAGAUAAAUUAGACAGGCUAAUGAGACUGAUUAGUCUUUAGCUGUGACCCUUGGCCUUUAGGAUGUACUUUGAGCUAAUAGAGAGAAUGGGGAUUAUAGGCUGUGAUAAUGUGCUUGUGUUGGCCUUUUAAAGGAAAACACAUUUAUUGCUACUUAGAGGAAAUUGAUCUAAUUGUGCUGGAAGCGUUUCUAUGGACCGAACAUGGAAUUUUUAUUAAGUAGGUGACUCAGGUUCAGCCAACAUUGCCAGAUUUGAAAUGGGCAGGAGAUAUUUCAAGAAGAUUCCACCUGGAAACUCCUGUGGCCGCUUCUCCAACUGAUAAUGAGCUUCACUCAUCCUGACUUUGAUCUGCUGCUCUGCAUGUCAGACGUCGGAGCUCUAGGAAUUUGGACUGCGAUCUCUGGGUCUCAUGGCUCAGGUCCAAACUAACAAAUCAUCUAAGACAACCCGUUGCGUUCGCAUGUUUACUAAGGGUUCAACUAUUUGAUUCCCUUCUCAGUCUUCAAAACAAAAUGGUUCCCUUAGUUACAAGGAUCCCCAGAGGCAAAUGAGGAAACAACAUCAUGCAGACAAUUUUGAGAACAGUAGGGUGCCCAGGGGCCCUAUCCUGCCCUAAAGAUAAGAUUUGAUUUCAUAGCCCAAAGCCUCACAUCUUCUGCUUCAUGCACAAAAGAAGCAGUUGUGCCUCCCAAAAUUUUCUCCAACAAUAUCAGUUGGACUCAUAAAAGACACUGCUUCUUCCUACAAGUCUUACUCUCAUGGGCUCAUGCCCUGGGUGGGUCUGUUCCUCGCUUCCAUCCUCCCUGGAGAGGAUGCAAAACACUGCUGCACUGCAACACUAGUGUUCUCCCUCCACUUGGCACAGGUGCAAGGGACAGCACGAGCAAUGGGGAAACCAAGCCAAGGUCAACACAAACAGGGCUGGAGAGAGUGAGUGUGCAAAUCUUCCUACAGUGAAAAUGCCCAACUGAGUUGCACCGUAGCCAGUGCUGGCCUGGGCUCCCACCAGUAGUGACCCAUUUGCUUUUCAUCUGGACCACAGUGGUGUUUUGUAAAUGUUUUUUGACCUUCCUCACAUCUCAUAUCCACCCUUUGCUGAGCCAGGCUGAGCUGGUUGCCCAGUUUCCCAAAGCUCCAUCUCUAGGUUAUUGGAAGAUGUUUGCUCCAUCUGACUCUAGAGAGAACCGAAGAGAGCUGGGUGUGCAAAUCCCCCCCCCGGGGCAGCUUCCUUCCAUGGAUGUGAUGUCCUAAUAUGUUUUCUCUAUUUCAAUAAAACAGUGGCUGAGUACCUGCUCUAUGAAGCACAGCAGUUCAGCACUCCUUCAUCCCCAUGAAAUCACAAAAAGGCUCUGGCCACGGGUACUGAGGGAACUCAGAGAAGGCCAAAGUGGAACCGUGGGGCUGAGAGCACAGGAGCUGCCACCUUCCCCACCUACGCACCAGUCCCUCCUUUCUGAGAAGAGAUACAGCCGAUCAAAGGUUUAAGCCACAGCCCUGAAGUCAAUGGAAGGACUACUCAGAAGCCACAAAUCGCUUUAUAACGUUCUAUCACAUGUGAUAAGUCCUGUACUUUGCCACCUACCCGUGUCAUGCUUUGAGAUGCUGGGAAAACAGAGAAUAGAGGUAGGAGCAGAUCCUCAGCUAGGAUAACACCAGCUGACUUUUGGAGUGAAGUUAUGAUCAUUUACACCAGCUGUGCUGCUCUUGUCCAAAUUAAAUAGAAAGAGCAGCCAAUUUGUAACUGCCUCGCUGGAGAUAAUACUGAGAUUCCUCAAAGAAUUGCAGAGUUACAGUCCCUGUUUGUUAAAUAUCUCUGUUGCAGACACCCAGGAAAAUGAAAAUCCUGCACAGUGUUUUGUAGGUUUGCUUAGAAAAACCCAGGAAUGGUAUUAGUAGCAAAUCCAUAUCACCUCAGGGCUGAUCCUACCGAACCACACUAGAUGGGCACUGAACUCAGGCUGAACUGAGACAGGCUGAUCAUAAAUAAAGCUAUUUGUGAAAGUAAGUUUCAAGAAAUAAGCCUGUUGACAGAUAAACCAGAUAAUUUUAA